AAGCAGUAAGGCUGAGUAUUAGGCAAAUCCGGUACUCGUUAAGGCUGAGCUGUGAUGGGGAGAAGACAUUGUGUCUUCGAGUCGUUGAUUUCACACUGCCGAGAAAAGCCUCUAGAUAGAAAAUAGGUGCCCGUACCGCAAACCGACACAGGUAGUCAAGAUGAGAAUUCUAAGGUGAGCGAGCGAACUCUCGUUAAGGAACUCGGCAAAAUGACCCCGUAACUUCGGGAGAAGGGGUGCUCUUUAGGGUUAACGCCCAGAAGAGCCGCAGUGAAUAGGCCCAAGCGACUGUUUAUCAAAAACACAGGUCUCUGCUAAACCGUAAGGUGAUGUAUAGGGGCUGACGCCUGCCCGGUGCUGGAAGGUUAAGAGGAGUGGUUAGCUUCUGCGAAGCUACGAAUCGAAGCCCCAGUAAACGGCGGCCGUAACUAUAACGGUCCUAAGGUAGCGAAAUUCCUUGUCGGGUAAGUUCCGACCCGCACGAAAGGCGUAACGAUUUGGGCACUGUCUCAACGAGAGACUCGGUGAAAUCAUAGUACCUGUGAAGAUGCAGGUUACCCGCGACAGGACGGAAAGACCCCGUGGAGCUUUACUGUAGCCUGAUAUUGAAAUUCGGCACAGCUUGUACAGGAUAGGUAGGAGCCUUUGAAACGUGAGCGCUAGCUUACGUGGAGGCGCUGGUGGGAUACUACCCUAGCUGUGUUGGCUUUCUAACCCGCACCACUUAUCGUGGUGGGAGACAGUGUCAGGCGGGCAGUUUGACUGGGGCGGUCGCCUCCUAAAAGGUAACGGAGGCGCUCAAAGGUUCCCUCAGAAUGGUUGGAAAUCAUUCAUAGAGUGUAAAGGCAUAAGGGAGCUUGACUGCGAGACCUACAAGUCGAGCAGGGUCGAAAGACGGACUUAGUGAUCCGGUGGUU
This 917-nucleotide ribosomal RNA is filed under the name Staphylococcus aureus. RNAcentral's name for it is "partial 23S ribosomal RNA". It matches the Rfam family "Bacterial large subunit ribosomal RNA", at positions 1514 to 2428 of the family's 2925-position model. Lineage: Bacteria; Bacillati; Bacillota; Bacilli; Caryophanales; Staphylococcaceae. The record is from RNAcentral.